AUUGGCGGGGUAUGGCCCACCAAGGCGACGAUCGGUAGCUGGUCUGACCUUUAAACCAGCCACACUGGAACUGAGACACGGUCCAGACCUUUACGGGAGGCAGCAGUGGGGAAUAUUGGACAAUGGGGGCAACCCUGAUCCAGCCAUGCCGCGUGGGUGAAGAAGGCCUUCGGGUUGUAAAGCCCUUUUGUACGGGAAGAAAAGCGUCUGGUGAAUAUCCGGGCGUCAUGACGGUACCGUAAGAAUAAGCACCGGCUAACUUCGUGCCAGCAGCCGCGGUAAUACGAAGGGUGCAAGCGUUACUCGGAAUUACUGGGCGUAAAGCGUGCGUAGGUGGUUUGUUAAGUCUGAUGUGAAAUCCCCGGGCUCAACCUGGGAAUGGCAUUGGAUACUGGCAGGCUAGAGUGCGGUAGAGGGUGGUGGAAUUCCCGGUGUAGCAGUGAAAUGCGUAGAGAUCGGGAGGAACAUCUGUGGCGAAGGCGGCCACCUGGACCAGCACUGACACUGAGGCACGAAAGCGUGGGGAGCAAACAGGAUUAGAUACCCUGGUAGUCCACGCCCUAAACGAUGCGAACUGGAUGUUGGGUGCAACUUGGCACUCAGUAUCGAAGCUAACGCGUUAAGUUCGCCGCCUGGGGAGUACGGUCGCAAGACUGAAACUCAAAGGAAUUGACGGGGGCCCGCACAAGCGGUGGAGUAUGUGGUUUAAUUCGAUGCAACGCGAAGAACCUUACCUGGCCUUGACAUCCACGGAAUCCUUCAGAGAUGAGGGAGUGCCUUCGGGAACCGUGAGACAAGUGCUGCAUGGCUGUCGUCAGCUCGU
Molecule: ribosomal RNA, 823 nt
Filed under: uncultured bacterium
Lineage: Bacteria
Description: bacterial SSU rRNA
Rfam family: Bacterial small subunit ribosomal RNA
Source: RNAcentral